GGUAUAGCUCAGUGGUAGAGCGCAUGCUUAGCAUGCCUGAGGUCCUAGGUUCAAUUACCAGUACC
RNAcentral lists this transfer RNA (65 nucleotides) under Camelus bactrianus (Bactrian camel). It matches the Rfam family "tRNA". From Rfam's summary of the family: Transfer RNA (tRNA) molecules are approximately 80 nucleotides in length. Their secondary structure includes four short double-helical elements and three loops (D, anti-codon, and T loops). Lineage: Eukaryota; Metazoa; Chordata; Mammalia; Artiodactyla; Camelidae. RNAcentral also lists the same sequence under 2 other names. The record is from Rfam by way of RNAcentral.